RNAcentral lists this ribosomal RNA (468 nucleotides) under uncultured Enterobacteriaceae bacterium. RNAcentral's name for it is "bacterial SSU rRNA". It matches the Rfam family "Bacterial small subunit ribosomal RNA", at positions 334 to 796 of the family's 1533-position model. Lineage: Bacteria; Pseudomonadati; Pseudomonadota; Gammaproteobacteria; Enterobacterales; Enterobacteriaceae. The record is from RNAcentral.
GACCUACGGGGGGCAGCAGUGGGGAAUAUUGCACAAUGGGCGCAAGCCUGAUGCAGCCAUGCCGCGUGUAUGAAGAAGGCCUUCGGGUUGUAAAGUACUUUCAGCGGGGAGGAAGGUGUUGCGGUUAAUAACCGCAGCAAUUGACGUUACCCGCAGAAGAAGCACCGGCUAACUCCGUGCCAGCAGCCGCGGUAAUACGGAGGGUGCAAGCGUUAAUCGGAAUUACUGGGCGUAAAGCGCACGCAGGCGGUCUGUCAAGUCGGAUGUGAAAUCCCCGGGCUCAACCUGGGAACUGCAUUCGAAACUGGCAGGCUAGAGUCUUGUAGAGUGGGGUAGAAUUCCAGGUGUAGCGGUGAAAUGCGUAGAGAUCUGGAGGAAUACCGGUGGCGAAGGCGGCCCCCUGGACAAAGACUGACGCUCAGGUGCGAAAGCGUGGGGAGCAAACAGGAUUAGAUACCCUAGUAGUCA